RNAcentral lists this ribosomal RNA (182 nucleotides) under uncultured bacterium. RNAcentral describes it as "partial 16S ribosomal RNA". It matches the Rfam family "Bacterial small subunit ribosomal RNA", at positions 1321 to 1500 of the family's 1533-position model. The record is from RNAcentral.
CGAAGUCGGAAUCGCUAGUAAUCGCGGAUCAGCAUGCCGCGGUGAAUACGUUCCCGGGCCUUGUANACACCGCCCGUCACACCAUGGGAGUUUGUAACGCCCAAAGUCGGUGGCCUAACCUUUAUGGAGGGAGCCGCCUAAGGCGGGACAGAUGACUGGGGGUGAAGUCGUAACAAGGUAGC